This 411-nucleotide ribosomal RNA is filed under the name Nigrospora sp. GZUCCZY0019. Its description in RNAcentral is "eukaryotic LSU rRNA". The stretch from base 57 to 210 matches the Rfam family "5.8S ribosomal RNA". Lineage: Eukaryota; Fungi; Ascomycota; Sordariomycetes; Amphisphaeriales; Apiosporaceae. The record is from RNAcentral.
CACAUCAAACUCUGUUAUCUUCGUUGAUUAUCUGAGUGUCUUAUUUAAUAAGUCAAAACUUUCAACAACGGAUCUCUUGGUUCUGGCAUCGAUGAAGAACGCAGCGAAAUGCGAUAAGUAAUGUGAAUUGCAGAAUUCAGUGAAUCAUCGAAUCUUUGAACGCACAUUGCGCCCAUUAGUAUUCUAGUGGGCAUGCCUGUUCGAGCGUCAUUUCAACCUCUAAGCACAGCUUACUGUUGGGAAUCUACGUCUGUAGUUCCUCAAAGACAUUGGCGGAGCGGCAGUAGUCCUCUGAGCGUAGUAAUUUUUUAUCUCGCUUCUGUUAGGCGCUGUCGUCCCGGCCGUUAAACCCCCAAUUUUUUCUGGUUGACCUCGGAUCAGGUAGGAAUACCCGCUGAACUUAAGCAUAUC